GCGCACGGGUGAGUAACACGUAUCCAACCUGCCGAUAACUCGGGGAUAGCCUUUCGGAAGAAAGAUUAAUACCCGAUGGUAUAAUUAGACCGCAUGGUCUUGUUAUUAAAGAAUUUCGGUUAUCGAUGGGGAUGCGUUCCAUUAGGCAGUUGGUGAGGUAACGGCUCACCAAACCUUCGAUGGAUAGGGGUUCUGAGAGGAAGGUCCCCCACAUUGGAACUGAGACACGGUCCAAACUCCUACGGGAGGCAGCAGUGAGGAAUAUUGGUCAAUGGGCGCAGGCCUGAACCAGCCAAGUAGCGUGAAGGAUGACUGCCCUAUGGGUUGUAAACUUCUUUUAUAUGGGAAUAAAGUUUUCCACGUGUGGAAUUUUGUAUGUACCAUAUGAAUAAGGAUCGGCUAACUCCGUGCCAGCAGCCGCGGUAAUACGGAGGAUCCGAGCGUUAUCCGGAUUUAUUGGGUUUAAAGGGAGCGUAGGUGGACAGUUAAGUCAGUUGUGAAAGUUUGCGGCUCAACCGUAAAAUUGCAGUUGAUACUGGCUGUCUUGAGUACAGUAGAGGUGGGCGGAAUUCGUGGUGUAGCGGUGAAAUGCUUAGAUAUCACGAAGAACUCCGAUUGCGAAGGCAGCUCACUGGACUGCAACUGA
Molecule: ribosomal RNA, 646 nt
Filed under: uncultured Bacteroidales bacterium
Lineage: Bacteria; Pseudomonadati; Bacteroidota; Bacteroidia; Bacteroidales
Description: bacterial SSU rRNA
Rfam family: Bacterial small subunit ribosomal RNA
Source: RNAcentral